RNAcentral lists this non-coding RNA (29 nucleotides) under Homo sapiens (human). Lineage: Eukaryota; Metazoa; Chordata; Mammalia; Primates; Hominidae. The record is from RNAcentral.
UUCAUCUUCUCGGAGCUGCUGUCCAACCU